GGGUCAGUAGGUUGGUCGUGCCACCGGUACGUACUGGUCUCACUGAUUCCUCCUUCCUGAAGAACCGUAAUGCCAUUAAUUUGGUGUUGCGGGGAAACAGGACUGUUACUUUGAAAAAAUUAGAGUGUUUAAAGCAAGCUAACGAUUGAAUACAUUAGCAUGGAAUAAUGAAAUAGGACGUUGAUCCUAUUUUGUUUGUUUCUAGGAUUGACGUA
Molecule: ribosomal RNA, 215 nt
Filed under: Glomeromycotina sp.
Lineage: Eukaryota; Fungi; Glomeromycota
Description: partial small subunit ribosomal RNA
Rfam family: Eukaryotic small subunit ribosomal RNA (bases 40-215)
Source: RNAcentral